Molecule: ribosomal RNA, 493 nt
Filed under: uncultured bacterium
Lineage: Bacteria
Description: partial 16S ribosomal RNA
Rfam family: Bacterial small subunit ribosomal RNA
Source: RNAcentral
AUUGAACGCUGGCGGCAUGCUUUACACAUGCAAGUCGAACGGUAACAGGUUAAGCUGACGAGUGGCGAACGGGUGAGUAAUGCAUCGGAACGUGCCCGAUCGUGGGGGAUAACGCAGCGAAAGCUGCGCUAAUACCGCAUACGAUCUGAGGAUGAAAGCCGGGGACCGUAAGGCCUCGCGCGAUCGGAGCGGCCGAUGUCAGAUUAGGUAGUUGGUGGGGUAAAGGCCCACCAAGCCGACGACCUGUAGCUGGUCUGAGAGGACGACCAGCCACACUGGGACUGAGACACGGCCCAGACUCCUACGGGAGGCAGCAGUGGGGAAUUUUGGACAAUGGGCGAAAGCCUGAUCCAGCAAUGCCGCGUGCAGGAAGAAGGCCUUCGGGUUGUAAACUGCUUUUGUACGGAGCGAAAAGGUCCUUUCUAAUAAAAGGGGCUCAUGACGGUACCGUAAGAAUAAGCACCGGCUAACUACGUGCCAGCAGCCGCCGCAG